This 732-nucleotide ribosomal RNA is filed under the name uncultured Leptotrichia sp. Its description in RNAcentral is "bacterial SSU rRNA". It matches the Rfam family "Bacterial small subunit ribosomal RNA", at positions 28 to 776 of the family's 1533-position model. Lineage: Bacteria; Fusobacteriati; Fusobacteriota; Fusobacteriia; Fusobacteriales; Leptotrichiaceae. The record is from RNAcentral.
GAUGAACGCUGACAGAAUGCUUAACACAUGCAAGUCGAUGGGGAAGUGGUGCUUGCACCAUGGUAACCAUGGCGGACGGGUGAGUAACGCGUAAGGAACUUACCUGCGGGACCGGGAUAACAGCAGGAAACUGCUGACAAGACCGGAUAAGGUCAUUAAGCUGCAUAGCUUAGUGAUGAAAGGAGACGCCUGCGGAGAGCCUUGCGUCCUAUUAGCUAGUUGGAGGGGUAACGGCCCACCAAGGCGAAGAUAGGUAGCCGGCCUGAGAGGGUGGACGGCCACAAGGGGACUGAGAUACGGCCCUUACUCCUACGGGAGGCAGCAGUGGGGAAUAUUGGACAAUGGGGGCAACCCUGAUCCAGCAAUUCUGUGUGCACGAAGACGGUUUUCGGAUUGUAAAGUGCUUUCAGCAGGGAAGAAGGAAGUGACGGUACCUGCAGAAGAAGCGACGGCUAAAUACGUGCCAGCAGCCGCGGUAAUACGUAUGUCGCGAGCGUUAUCCGGAAUUAUUGGGCAUAAAGGGCAUCUAGGCGGCCUUUCAAGUCAGGGGUGAAAACCUGCGGCUCAACCGCAGGCCUGCCUUUGAAACUGAUAGGCUGGAGUACCGGAGAGGUGGACGGAACUGCACGAGUAGAGGUGAAAUUCGUAGAUAUGUGCAGGAAUGCCGAUGAUGAAGAUAGUUCACUGGACGGUAACUGACGCUGAAGUGCGAAAGCCGGGGGAGCAAACAGG